This 253-nucleotide ribosomal RNA is filed under the name uncultured bacterium. RNAcentral's name for it is "partial 16S ribosomal RNA". It matches the Rfam family "Bacterial small subunit ribosomal RNA", at positions 524 to 776 of the family's 1533-position model. The record is from RNAcentral.
UACGGAGGGGGCUAGCGUUGUUCGGAAUUACUGGGCGUAAAGCGCGCGUAGGCGGACCUGUAAGUCGGGGGUGAAAGCCCGAGGCUCAACCUCGGAACUGCCUUCGAUACUGCGGGUCUUGAGUCCGAGAGAGGUGAGUGGAAUUCCUAGUGUAGAGGUGAAAUUCGUAGAUAUUAGGAAGAACACCAGUGGCGAAGGCGGCUCACUGGCUCGGUACUGACGCUGAGGCGCGAAAGCGUGGGGAGCAAACAGG